CACGUAGGGGACGAGCGUUGUCCGGAUUCAUUGGGCGCAAAGCGCGCGUAGGCGGCUCGGAAAGUCGGGCGUGAAAUGCCGGGGCUCAACCCCGGGACUGCGUCCGAUACUUCCGAGCUGGAGGUAGGUAGGGGAGAUCGGAAUUCCUGGUGUAGCGGUGAAAUGCGCAGAUAUCAGGAGGAACACCGGUGGCGAAAGGGCGGGAU
This 206-nucleotide ribosomal RNA is filed under the name uncultured bacterium. RNAcentral's name for it is "partial 16S ribosomal RNA". It matches the Rfam family "Bacterial small subunit ribosomal RNA", at positions 524 to 727 of the family's 1533-position model. The record is from RNAcentral.